GUUAGCGACAGAAGAAGCACCGGCUAACUCCGUGCCAGCAGCCGCGGUAAUACGGAGGGUGCGAGCGUUAAUCGGAAUUACUGGGCGUAAAGCGCAUGCAGGUGGUUCGUUAAGUCAGAUGUGAAAGCCCGGGGCUCAACCUCGGAACUGCAUUUGAAACUGGCGGACUAGAGUACUGUAGAGGGGGGUAGAAUUUCAGGUGUAGCGGUGAAAUGCGUAGAGAUCUGAAGGAAUACCAGUGGCGAAGGCGGCCCCCUGGACAGAUACUGACACUCAGAUGCGAAAGCGUGGGGAGCAAACAGGAUUAGAUACCCUGGUAGUCCACGCCGUAAACGAUGUCUACUUGGAGGUUGUGGCCUUGAGCCGUGGCUUUCGGAGCUAACGCGUUAAGUAGACCGCCUGGGGAGUACGGUCGCAAGAUUAAAACUCAAAUGAAUUGACGGGGGCCCGCACAAGCGGUGGAGCAUGUGGUUUAAUUCGAUGCAACGCGAAGAACCUUACCUACUCUUGACAUCCAGAGAACUUAGCAGAGAUGCUUUGGUGCCUUCGGGAACUCUGAGACAGGUGCUGCAUGGCUGUCGUCAGCUCGUGUUGUGAAAUGUUGGGUUAAGUCCCGCAACGAGCGCAACCCUUAUCCUUGUUUGCCAGCGAGUAAUGUCGGGAACUCCAGGGAGACUGCCGGUGAUAAACCGGAGGAAGGUGGGGACGACGUCAAGUCAUCAUGGCCCUUACGAGUAGGGCUACACACGUGCUACAAUGGCGCAUACAGAGGGCUGCCAACUUGCAAAAGUGAGCGAAUCCCAAAAAGUGCGUCGUAGUCCGGAUUGGAGUCUGCAACUCGACUCCAUGAAGUCGGAAUCGCUAGUAAUCGUAGAUCAGAAUGCUACGGUGAAUACGUUCCCGGGCCUUGUACACACCGCCCGUCACACCAUGGGAGUGGGCUGCAAAAGAAGUGGGUAGUUUAACCUUCGGGAGGACGCUCACCACUUUGUCUGUGCG
Molecule: ribosomal RNA, 999 nt
Filed under: Vibrio sp.
Lineage: Bacteria; Pseudomonadati; Pseudomonadota; Gammaproteobacteria; Vibrionales; Vibrionaceae
Description: bacterial SSU rRNA
Rfam family: Bacterial small subunit ribosomal RNA
Source: RNAcentral